AUAAACGCUGGCGGCGUGCUUAAUGCAUGCAAGUCGCACGGACUGAAGGGCUUCGGCCUUUCAGUUAGUGGCGGACGGGUGAGUAACACGUACGUAACCUGACCGAGAGCGGGGAAUAACUCGCCGAAAGGUGAGCUAAUACCGCAUAUGGUCGCCGGUGGCAUUCCGGUGGACAAAAGCCUUCGGGCGCUUUCGGAGGGGCGUGCGGCCGAUUAGCUAGUUGGUGAGGUAACGGCCCACCAAGGCGAUGAUCGGUAGCUGGUCUGAGAGGACGGCCAGCCACACGGGGACUGAGACACGGCCCCGACUCCUACGGGAGGCAGCAGCAAGGAAUCUUGCGCAAUGGGCGAAAGCCUGACGCAGCAACGCCGCGUGGGGGAUGAAGGCCUUCGGGUCGUAAACCCCUUUUGCAGGGGAAGCAACUGACGGUACCCUGCGAAUAAGCCACGGCUAACUACGU
This 460-nucleotide ribosomal RNA is filed under the name uncultured bacterium. RNAcentral describes it as "bacterial SSU rRNA". It matches the Rfam family "Bacterial small subunit ribosomal RNA", at positions 29 to 506 of the family's 1533-position model. The record is from RNAcentral.